RNAcentral lists this ribosomal RNA (413 nucleotides) under Macrobrachium aff. pilimanus MB-2009. RNAcentral's name for it is "partial 16S rRNA". It matches the Rfam family "Bacterial large subunit ribosomal RNA", at positions 1814 to 2493 of the family's 2925-position model. Lineage: Eukaryota; Metazoa; Arthropoda; Malacostraca; Decapoda; Palaemonidae. The record is from RNAcentral.
AACAUGUCUGUGUGAGUAUUAAUUAUAAAGUCUAGCCUGCCCACUGAUUGUUUAAAGGGCCGCGGUAAUUUGACCGUGCGAAGGUAGCAUAGUCAGUAGUCUUUUAAUUGAAGGCUUGAAUGAAGGGUUGGACGAGGGGUAAGCUGUCUCCAUUGCAUGGCUUGAAUUUAACUUUUGAGUGAAAAGGCUUAAAUUGUUUAGUGGGACGAUAAGACCCUAUAAAACUUGAUAUGGGCUUAGCUUGGUUUGCAAUUUUGGGUGAAAAGGUGUUUUGCUUGGCCUAUAUUUUGUUGGGGAGAUGUAGAUAUAACGUGUAACUGUCUGUUGAAUUUAAUAGUUAUGAUUAGUGUGUGAUCCUUCAUUUGGGGAUUAGGAGAGUAAGUUACUUUAGGGAUAACAGCGUGAUUUUCUUC